CCAAUAGCGUAUAUUAAAGUUGUUGCAGUUAAAAAGCUCGUAGUUGAAUUUCGGGGUUUAUCCGUUGGUCGGGCUUUUGGGUCUGUACUGGCGUGAUGGAUUCCUACCUUCUGAAUAACCAGCAUGUCAUUAAUUUGGUGCGUUGGGGAAGCAGGACUGUUACCUUGAAAAAAUUAGAGUGCUUAAAGCAGGCUAUUGCCUGAAUACAUUAGCAUGGAAUAAUGAAAUAGGACGCAUGGUUCUAUUUUGUUGGUUUCUAGGAUCACCGUAAUGAUUAAUAGGGAUAGUUGGGUGCAUUAGUAUUCAAUUGUAAGAGGUGAAAUUCUUGGAUUUAUUGAAGACUAACUUCUGCGAAAGCAUUUGCCAAGGAUGUUUUCAUUAAUCAAGAACGAAAGUUAGGGGAUCGAAGACGAUCAGAUACCGUCGUAGUCUUAACCAGAAACUAUGCCGACUAGGGAUCGGACGAUGUUAAUUUUUUAAUGACUCGUUCGGCGCCUUACG
Molecule: ribosomal RNA, 501 nt
Filed under: uncultured Glomeromycotina
Lineage: Eukaryota; Fungi; Glomeromycota
Description: partial small subunit ribosomal RNA
Rfam family: Eukaryotic small subunit ribosomal RNA
Source: RNAcentral